UGUGACAUACCACUUGUUGCCUCGGCGGAUCAGCCCGCUCCCGGUAAAACGGGACGGCCCGCCAGAGGACCCCUAAAACUCUGUUUCUAUAUGUAACUUCUGAGUAAAACCAUAAAUAAAUCAAAACUUUCAACAACGGAUCUCUUGGUUCUGGCAUCGAUGAAGAACGCAGCAAAAUGCGAUAAGUAAUGUGAAUUGCAGAAUUCAGUGAAUCAUCGAAUCUUUGAACGCACAUUGCGCCCGCCAGUAUUCUGGCGGGCAUGCCUGUUCGAGCGUCAUUUCAACCCUCAAGCACAGCUUGGUGUUGGGACUCGCGUUAAUUCGCGUUCCUCAAAUUGAUUGGCGGUCACGUCGAGCUUCCAUAGCGUAGUAGUAAAACCCUCGUUACUGGUAAUCGUCGCGGCCACGCCGUUAAACCCCAACUUCUGAAUGUUGACCUCGGAUCAGGUAGGAAUACCCGCUGAACUUAAGCAUAU
RNAcentral lists this ribosomal RNA (476 nucleotides) under Fusarium oxysporum. Its description in RNAcentral is "eukaryotic LSU rRNA". The stretch from base 125 to 278 matches the Rfam family "5.8S ribosomal RNA". The record is from RNAcentral. Lineage: Eukaryota; Fungi; Ascomycota; Sordariomycetes; Hypocreales; Nectriaceae.